UUUUGGUUGAUGUACCUCUGAAGGUGAUGCCUGAUGCCUCAAAAGCAUCCACCCCUGUGAUUGAUUCGAUUUCUCAAGUAAUACCUGAUAAAGCCAAAAAACCCACCAUUGUGAUUGAUUCACCUCCUCGGAUAAUACAUGAUAGAGCCAAAGCACCCACCAUUGUGGUUGAUGUGCCGUCUAGUAUAACACCUAAUACAGAAGAUGCAUCCACCAUUGUUGUUGAUUCACCUCCUCGAUUAAUACCCAGUAGAACGAGAGCAUCCACAACAGUGGCCGAUACACCUCUGAUCACACCUGAUACAGCUGAAGUAUCCACCAUUCCAGUUAGUUUACCCACUCGAUCAAUACCAAAUAAAGCGAAAGCAUACACAGCAGUGGCUGAUUCACUUGCUCGGACGAUACCUGAUACAAUUAAAACAUCUACAAUUGCAGUUGAUUCACCUCCUCUGUUAAAACCUAAUAGAGCAAGAACAUCCACAGUAGUGGCGAGUUCACCUCCGCGGGUAGUACCUGAUACAGCCCAAGAAUCUCCCGUUGCAGUUGAUUCAACUCCUCCAUUAAAACCUAAUAGAAUGAGAGCAUCCACAAUAGUGGCGAAUUCACCUCCUCGGGUAGUUCCUGAUACAGCCCAAGCAUCCACUGUUGCAGACAAUUCCCCACCUCGGUUAAAAUCUCAUAGAGCAAGAGCAUCCACAGUAGUUGCUGAUUCACCUCCUCGGAUAAUACCUGAUACAGUCAAAGCACCCACCAUUGCAAAUAAUGGACCACCAAUUUCAAGAACUAAUAGAGUGAGAGCAUCCACCAUAGCUGUUGAUGCACCUCCUCGUGUACCC
This 836-nucleotide long non-coding RNA is filed under the name Daucus carota (carrot). RNAcentral describes it as "long non-coding RNA (DCAR_LNC005643)". Lineage: Eukaryota; Viridiplantae; Streptophyta; Magnoliopsida; Apiales; Apiaceae. The record is from RNAcentral.